RNAcentral lists this ribosomal RNA (493 nucleotides) under uncultured bacterium. RNAcentral describes it as "partial 16S ribosomal RNA". It matches the Rfam family "Bacterial small subunit ribosomal RNA", at positions 30 to 523 of the family's 1533-position model. The record is from RNAcentral.
AUUGAACGCUGGCGGCAUGCUUUACACAUGCAAGUCGAACGGUAACAGGUUAAGCUGACGAGUGGCGAACGGGUGAGUAAUGCAUCGGAACGUGCCCGAUCGUGGGGGAUAACGCAGCGAAAGCUGCGCUAAUACCGCAUACGAUCUGAGGAUGAAAGCGGAGGACCGUAAGGCCUCGCCCGAUCGGAGCGGCCGAUGGCAGAUUAGGUAGUUGGUGGGGUAAAGGCUCACCAAGCCAACGAUCUGUAGCUGGUCUGAGAGGACGACCAGCCACACUGGGACUGAGACACGGCCCAGACUCCUACGGGAGGCAGCAGUGGGGAAUUUUGGACAAUGGGCGAAAGCCUGAUCCAGCAAUGCCGCGUGCAGGAAGAAGGCCUUCGGGUUGUAAACUGCUUUUGUACGGAGCGAAAAGGUCUCCUCUAAUACAGGGGGCUCAUGACGGUACCGUAAGAAUAAGCACCGGCUAACUACGUGCCAGCCGCCGCCGUAA